This 460-nucleotide ribosomal RNA is filed under the name uncultured bacterium. RNAcentral describes it as "partial 16S ribosomal RNA". It matches the Rfam family "Bacterial small subunit ribosomal RNA", at positions 338 to 795 of the family's 1533-position model. The record is from RNAcentral.
CCUACGGGAGGCAGCAGUGAGGAAUAUUGGUCAAUGGGCGCGAGCCUGAACCAGCCAAGUCGCGUGAGGGAAGACGGCCCUACGGGUUGUAAACCUCUUUUGCCGGGGAGCAACGGGCGCCACGUGUGGCGCCACUGAGAGUACCCGUAGAAAAAGCAUCGGCUAUCUCCUGGCCAGCCGCCGCGGUAAUACGGGGGGUGCGAGCGUUAUCGGACUUUAUUGGGUUUAAAGGGUUCGUAGUGGGAUGGUAAAGUCAGAGGUAAAAUUGCGGGGCCAAACCCCUUCCUGCCAGUGAAACUGGCGGUCUGGAGUGGACGAGAAGUAAGCGGAAUGCGUGGGGUAGCGGUGAAAUGCAUAGAUAUCACGAAGAACCCCGGUUGCGAAGGCAGCAUGCCGGAUUCCUACUGACGCUGAGGCACGAAAGCGUGGGGAUCGAACAGGAUUAGAUACCCUGGUAGUC